This 241-nucleotide ribosomal RNA is filed under the name Bacillus sp. 351c_12D. RNAcentral's name for it is "partial 16S ribosomal RNA". It matches the Rfam family "Bacterial small subunit ribosomal RNA", at positions 127 to 357 of the family's 1533-position model. The record is from RNAcentral. Lineage: Bacteria; Bacillati; Bacillota; Bacilli; Caryophanales; Bacillaceae.
UGCCCUUGAGACGGGGAUAACUCCGGGAAACCGGAGCUAAUACCGGAUAACACAUAUCUUCGCAUGAUGAUAUGUUAGAAGGUGGCUUUUAGCUACCACUCAAGGAUGGGCCCGCGGCGCAUUAGCUAGUUGGUGAGGUAACGGCUCACCAAGGCGACGAUGCGUAGCCGACCUGAGAGGGUGAUCGGCCACACUGGGACUGAGACACGGCCCAGACUCCUACGGGAGGCAGCAGUGGUCA